Molecule: transfer RNA, 72 nt
Filed under: Candidatus Woesearchaeota archaeon
Lineage: Archaea; Nanobdellati; Candidatus Woesearchaeota
Description: tRNA-Tyr
Rfam family: tRNA
About the family: Transfer RNA (tRNA) molecules are approximately 80 nucleotides in length.
Source: RNAcentral
CCCUGUGUAGCUCAAUGGUAGAGCGGUCGGCUGUAGCCCGACAGGUUCCUGGUUCGAGUCCGGGCGCAGGGA